AGCGAACGCUGGCGGUAGGCCUAACACAUGCAAGUCGAACGGCAGCACAGUAAGUGCUUGCUCUAAAGGGUGGCCAGUGGCGGACGGGUGAGGUAUACAACGGAAUCUACACUUCCGUGUGGGAUAACGUAGGGAAACUUACGCUCAUACCGCAUACGACCUACGGGUGAAAGCAGGGGAUCUUCGGACCUUGCGCGGUUGAGUGAGCCGAUGUCGGAUUAGCUAGUUGGUGGGGUAAAGAGCCACCAAGGGGGCGAUCGGUAGAUGGUGUGGGGGGACGGUCGCCCACACUGGAACGGGGACAGGGUCCAGACGCCUACGGGAGGCAGCAGUGGGGUAUGUUGGGCAGUGGUCGGAAGCCUGAUCCAGCCGUCCCGAGUGGGUGGAGAAGGCCUUCGGUUUGUAAAGACGUUUUGUUGGGAAAGAAAAGCAUCAGGUUAAUACCCCGCUGUUCUGACGGUACCCAAAGAAUAAGCACCGGCUAACUUCGUG
This 492-nucleotide ribosomal RNA is filed under the name uncultured bacterium. RNAcentral's name for it is "partial 16S ribosomal RNA". It matches the Rfam family "Bacterial small subunit ribosomal RNA", at positions 29 to 507 of the family's 1533-position model. The record is from RNAcentral.